Molossus molossus (Pallas's mastiff bat) is the source of this 774-nucleotide long non-coding RNA. RefSeq lists it as uncharacterized. The record is from RefSeq and is a predicted model, not a curated record. The transcript is spliced from 5 exons. Lineage: Eukaryota; Metazoa; Chordata; Mammalia; Chiroptera; Molossidae.
GUCAGUGUCCGCAGCGCCCAGUCGACGCCUAAUGAGCGGCUCUGCUGGGCAGCGGCCGUCGGGUGGUGGGGACACAUGUUGGAGACAGAGACUGGAGCCCUGUGUCACAGAGCUGAACACCCACACCUGGCCCAGGAAUUGGAGAAGCUGAAGGAGAAUCUAAGGGAACGUGGAACCAUUGCAGACCCAGCCACUCCUCACACCAAGGAGGUACCAGCUGGACCACACGGCUGACCCGCAAAUAAGACAACUCCCACUUCUAGAAUUCUCUCCCCCAGAUUUCACCAAGGUGAAAUGGAAACCCAAAUUGAUUAAACCCAAAUGAACUGUUGGAUAUGACUAAAUCCCACAUGAACUCAGGCCACUGUGGCCAGCUGGACCGCUCGUGCCUGUCUGAAAGGGGCAGUGACCACCUGGCUCCAGUGACGGUGACAGUGUGGGGAGAUGGAUCCCCUAUAGCCAGACCUUCCAAAUUCCUCAAGACACGCUAGAAUCUGGAUUUUUACAUGACGUCUAGUCCUGAUGGCUGCUGGUUUUUGACCUUGGAUAUGGAAGCUUCCAGAAGCACUCUAAUCCACCUUCUAUUCAAUACCCAGAGCAAGGGUUCAAAAGUCAGAUCUGCUCUGUCAUCCCACACCAACGCCCAGCCUCACGAGGUCCGCGGCACCAUCAGGACAGAGAAGUCCCCCUGGAAGAGGCCUCCCCACCGAUGAGACCAGCAGUCCUGAAGCAGCACAGACAUGCUUCACGUGGCUCAAAUGGUUUUAAGUUUUU